UACAUAGGUCCCGAGCGUUAUCCGGAUUUACUGGGCGUAAAGUGUCCGUAGCCUGAUAUGUAAGUCUGUUUUCAAAUAUUGUGGCUUAACCAUAAAGAGGGAAUAGAUACUGCAUAUCUUGAAGUUGUUGGGGGUUAGUGGAAUUUCCGGUGGAGCGGUGAAAUGCGUUGAUAUCGGAAAGAACGCCGAAAGCGAAAGCAGCUAACUACAAUAAACUUGACGGUGAGGGACGAAAGCUUGGGGAGCAAAC
RNAcentral lists this ribosomal RNA (250 nucleotides) under uncultured prokaryote. Its description in RNAcentral is "partial 16S ribosomal RNA". It matches the Rfam family "Bacterial small subunit ribosomal RNA", at positions 524 to 773 of the family's 1533-position model. The record is from RNAcentral.